GGGUAAGAACCUCACCUAUCUUGAUAUGUAGGUGGGGUUGUGAUAUAUUGUGCCCAGUGGGCCACUUUUGGUAAGCAGAACUGGCGCUGUGGGAUGAACCAAACGCAAUGUUACGGUGCCAAAAUUUACAACUCAUGCAGAUACCAUGAAAGGCGUUGCUUGCUUAAAACAGCAGGACGGUGGACAUGGAAGUCGUAAUCCGCUAAGGAGUGUGUAACAACUCACCUGCCGAAGCAACUAGCCCUUAAAAUGGAUGGCGCUUAAGUUGUAUACCUAUACAUUGCCGCUAAUGUAAAUGAUUUAUACAUAAUUUUGGUUAUGUUUAUAAAUUUUGAAACAUUAGUGAGUAGGAGGGUACAAUGGUGUGCCUAGAAGUGUUUGG
RNAcentral lists this ribosomal RNA (382 nucleotides) under Apocephalus guapilensis. RNAcentral describes it as "partial 28S ribosomal RNA". It matches the Rfam family "Eukaryotic large subunit ribosomal RNA", at positions 1071 to 1415 of the family's 3401-position model. The record is from RNAcentral. Lineage: Eukaryota; Metazoa; Arthropoda; Insecta; Diptera; Phoridae.